RNAcentral lists this ribosomal RNA (424 nucleotides) under Verrucomicrobiota bacterium. RNAcentral describes it as "Verrucomicrobia bacterium partial 16S ribosomal RNA". It matches the Rfam family "Bacterial small subunit ribosomal RNA", at positions 355 to 776 of the family's 1533-position model. The record is from RNAcentral. Lineage: Bacteria; Pseudomonadati; Verrucomicrobiota.
UGAGGAAUAUUGGUCAAUGGACGCAAGUCUGAACCAGCCAAGUAGCGUGCAGGAUGACGGCCCUAUGGGUUGUAAACUGCUUUUAUAUGGGGAUAAAGUGGGGAACGUGUUCCCUUUUUCAGGUACCAUAUGAAUAAGGACCGGCUAAUUCCGUGCCAGCAGCCGCGGUAAUACGGAAGGUUCGGGCGUUAUCCGGAUUUAUUGGGUUUAAAGGGAGCGUAGGCCGUUUGGUAAGCGUGUUGUGAAAUGUAGGAGCUCAACUUCUAGAUUGCAGCGCGAACUGUCAGACUUGAGUGCGCACAACGUAGGCGGAAUUCAUGGUGUAGCGGUGAAAUGCUUAGAUAUCAUGACGAACUCCGAUUGCGAAGGCAGCUUACGGGAGCGCAACUGACGCUAAAGCUCGAAGGUGCGGGUAUCGAACAGG